This 445-nucleotide ribosomal RNA is filed under the name uncultured bacterium. RNAcentral's name for it is "partial 16S ribosomal RNA". It matches the Rfam family "Bacterial small subunit ribosomal RNA", at positions 354 to 796 of the family's 1533-position model. The record is from RNAcentral.
GUGAGGAAUAUUGGUCAAUGGGCGAGAGCCUGAACCAGCCAAGUCGCGUGAAGGAAGAAGGAUCUAUGGUUCGUAAACUUCUUUUGCAGGGGAAUAAAGUGCGGGACGUGUCCUGUUUUGUAUGUACCCUGAGAAUAAGGAUCGGCUAACUCCGUGCCAGCAGCCGCGGUAAUACGGAGGAUCCGAGCGUUAUCCGGAUUUAUUGGGUUUAAAGGGUGCGUAGGUGGUUUGAUAAGUCAGCGGUGAAAGUUUGCAGCUUAACUGUAAAAAUGCCGUUGAAACUGUCGGACUUGAGUGUAAAUGAGGUAGGCGGAAUGCGUGGUGUAGCGGUGAAAUGCAUAGAUAUCACGCAGAACUCCGAUUGCGAAGGCAGCUCACUGGGGUACAACUGACACUGAGGCUCGAAAGUGUGGGUAUCAAACAGGAUUAGAAACCCGUGUAGUCC